CGUAACAGCGAACAACAUCGUUCGUUUCUCCCGCCAGGCCGCCCCUGUUGCCGCCUGAGCCCAAAGGAGAUGGGGUGAGGUCAGCCUUAUCACCAAAAUGACCCAUGGGGGCUGGGAGGCCCC
This 123-nucleotide transfer-messenger RNA is filed under the name Synechococcus sp. SB0666_bin_14. It matches the Rfam family "Cyanobacteria transfer-messenger RNA", at positions 164 to 288 of the family's 288-position model. Rfam says of the family: Bacterial tmRNA, also known as 10Sa RNA or SsrA, is named for its dual tRNA and mRNA-like properties. Lineage: Bacteria; Bacillati; Cyanobacteriota; Cyanophyceae; Synechococcales; Synechococcaceae. The record is from RNAcentral.